This 493-nucleotide long non-coding RNA is filed under the name Lactuca sativa (garden lettuce). RNAcentral describes it as "long non-coding RNA (LSAT_LNC004547)". Lineage: Eukaryota; Viridiplantae; Streptophyta; Magnoliopsida; Asterales; Asteraceae. The record is from RNAcentral.
AGAAAACUGAAUUUGUGGAAUCUGUGAUCCAAUUAUUGGUUGAGAUUACGAAGAUAUAUUGAACACAGAUAUCAUCAGAACCUACCAGAUAAUGACUUGUUUAAUGGUAGGGAUGAGUAGGUAAUUUCACUUUUAUUACAACAACUCCUUACCUCAUCAAACACCUGAUCUGCAACCAAUAAUUAACUUUGAUUAUUGGUCUAAUAUUUCACCUGAUCUCAAAUUAGAAACAAACAAGUUUUCAAAUUAGAAACAGGAAAAAUGUGUCAUAUAUUUCACCUGAUCUCUUUAUAGUGUCGCCGUUUCUUUGUUUCUUUUUGCAUUUUCUUCAUUUUGAAGAUCGUUGGUGAUGUGCACUGGUGAUGCGGUACUGAUGGGGCACCUUGUUGAAUCUGAGUAAAACCGCACCAAGAAGAAAAGCCACGUCAGUCGUAGAGCAAGACGAAGAUUUCUGAUUGUGAGAAUUGGACGUUAGGGAUAAAGAGGGAAUUAA